CCGUUUAGGAAUAAAACUAAGAAGCGAUAGCAUUAGCCUACAGUCAAAUGCUUCGGUUAUCUGACAGACUGGUGGGCUUGUUAGCUAUGUUGAUAAAAUACCAAACGGCUAUAUUUCAUGUGCGUACAUUAAUAUACGAACAUGAAACACAAGAAUUUUUAACAAUUUUCUAAUAUAUAAGUCGCAUUUAUGGCUGUUCGUCUAAGAAGUUCACUUUGCAACCGCGAGGUUUAGGACUUAUUUCCAGUGCGUAGCAUAUUGGAUAAGAGUUUUCUACUAAAGCCCCGGGUUGACCAAUGCCUUGUGAAUGAAUUUGGUGGACGAAACUUUACUCACCGUCGUAUUUGUGUGUGCGCUUGUGCUCCCUCCACUGUACUCUUUCUAAAAGGCCGAGAGACAACAUUAUGGUUCCCAAUAUUCUCUCGAUAUAUGUGUAAGAAUAGAAAUGUAAGCAUUGUGUGAAAUGACCAAGCUAUCUACCUGGAAAUCUAAGCCGAGAAUCUUCAGAGGCUGUGAGAAACCAUCAUAAGAGAUGCAAAACUAUGUGUUCAGCUUACUCAUUCUCGGAUAAAGAACUCAGGCAAUUUCCAGAUUCGAUUCCUCCGGAUGACUUCCUGAACAAGUUUCAUUGAGUUCAAUUUGUUAGAAGAAAACUUCGCAGAGGCCUCCGUUGACUACCACUACUACGAAUACUGCUGCUGAUGUUACUAUAACUCCUUCUGAUGCUACUACAACAACUAUUACUGCUUUUGCUACUACCACUACUACUACUUUAAUUCCAAUGUCUACUACUACUACUACUAUUACUACUACUACUACUACUACUACUACUACUACUACUACUACUAUUACUACUACUACUACUACUACUACUACUACUACUACUACAAUUACUAAUCCUACUACUGCCUCUACUACUACUAUUAUUAAUGCUACUACAGCAACUGUUAUUGCAAUUAUUAAAUAUACUGUGAACAACUACGAGGCUUUCUCUUUAUUUCUUAGUAAAAAGUUCGACGGUAUAUGGCCUAGUGGUAAGACUGCUGGACUUACGAUCAUAAGGCCGUGGACUCGAUUCCAGGACUGGCCUUGUGCCUGAAUCAGAAACUAUUAAUAAGGUAAUGUUAAAGGUGGUGAGAUGGCAGAAUCGUUGGCACGCCGGAGAAAAUGCUUAGCAGCCUCUGGUCCGUCUUCACGCUCUGAGUUCACCGUUCGACUCUGCUUUUCGUCGUUUCGGGAUCGAUAAAAUAAGUACCAGUUGAGCUCUGGGGUUGAUGCAAUCGACUUACCCUCUCCCCCGAAAUUGCUGGCCUUGUGCCAAAAUUUGAAAUCAUUAUCAAGGUAAUGGUAAGGCAGCAGAAUAAUGGAUGCGAUGAAAGACCUUUCUUUCAUUAUGAAUAUACAGGUGUGUGUGUGUGUAUGUGUGUGUGUGUGUGUGUGUGUGUGUGUGUGUGUGUGUAUCUAUUCACCUAUUAGUCUGCUUACUGUUACCUGUGUUUUAUUGAACUUCUUUCUGUUCAUCUUAAUCGAUUUCCAGAAUCAAAUUCAGGAUAUU
Molecule: long non-coding RNA, 1555 nt
Organism: Octopus bimaculoides (California two-spot octopus)
Lineage: Eukaryota; Metazoa; Mollusca; Cephalopoda; Octopoda; Octopodidae
Source: RefSeq, a predicted model, not a curated record